GAAACGAGGACGCGGAACGUUCGCUCGUCGGCCAACGAUGGAGGAACGUCCAACGUCCGGUUAACCGCGGUUUUUACCGUUCGCCCGCCAUUUUUCUCCAAUUUCGCGUAACUGAUGACGUUUUGAUGGCGGCAUCGUGUUUACAGGCGAGUUAACGACCUCUGAUGAAGAAGUCUUCCACGUCGAGAGAGGCGCUAAGGACACUUUGAUGAUGUUUGCGUAUUAACUAACGAUCCACCUGUGCGAAUUCUCCUUGAUGGAAGGGAAUCGAGGAUGAAAUUGAUGCGCGUGCCGGUUGUUAACGAGCAGAACUGCCAUUUUUGUGGUAAGUGGUUUCGAGAGUUAGGUUAGGAGAUGAAGGUUUGAAGUUUUGCUCGAGUCGAGGCACGCAUGCGCUCUCCUCCUCCCACGCGCCAUCUUCAUUCGCGGAGAUCGAGUUUCGUCGAAAGAGAUAUCUUAUCUUUAGGAUCCUAAAAAAAAGAAAAAGAUGAAGGGAAAGUUUGGUUAGAAUUCUGGCCGAAAAACUUUAAUCGACUACUUCAGUCGUUUAAAGGGGAGAUGAUAUAAUUAGUUGAAAGAAAGGAAAAGAAUAAUGCGGUUGGGGGGACGUCGAUAACGGGACAAAAACGCAGGAGGCGCAUAAACAAUUUCCUCGUUAAUCAUAAAGGAUCCGAAGUGCGCUUCGAUCGCUUUUCCCACCCAGUUUUCCAUUACAUAUCGCACGUACGAUCGUGCUCGAUUCGCUCUGAAUUGCAGAUUUUCCAUUUUCUUAAUCGCAACUCGGUCGGUUUCUUUUUUUCUUCUUUCUCCUUUUUUCCUUCCUUAUCCACCCAACCAAUCUGCAACGCGUCGCGAUUUCGUAUCGAGAUUAAGUAUUCAAAAACUCGAGCAAUCGAUCGCCCACCUCGAUGGAACACAAUAAUAUCCGAUAAGAAUUAAUUUAAAUAAUUUCCUAUUUACAUAGAUUACUCUAUUUGCGCGUAGAUUGGCGCGCGAUAAUGAGAAAAACGAUUUAUCGAUUUUUUUUUUUUUUCGCAGUUA
This is a long non-coding RNA of Apis florea (little honeybee), 1041 nucleotides long. NCBI's taxonomy places the organism in Eukaryota, Metazoa, Arthropoda, Insecta, Hymenoptera, Apidae. The record is from RefSeq and is a predicted model, not a curated record.